ACAAGCUUAAAUUUUAAAGUUUAAAGCACAUUAUGAAAAUUGUGCUUUGAAUGGUUAAGAACACAUAAGAAAGGGAAACCAAGCUAGUCCAUUAAACUUCCUCUAUCCAUUUUAUUUAGGAUGGUAUGUUGUAAAAACAAAAUAAUAGUUUUCAGCAUUUAAAACUUUCCUGAUACAGAAAUAAAGCACAAGAUACAAGAUACAAAAUACAAUUUCUUAAAUGGGAAAGAAAUAUGCCUAAGUAGUAAAACCAAUUGAAAUGGAAUCUCAGUGGGGUACACUAACCUAUUCCACAUUUUGUAAUAAAGUGGAACAAGACCUCUAAAAUUAAACUCAAUCACUAAGUUAAAAAAACAGAAUCAGCACAAAAUCUGCUAAAAUGUCCUACUAAUGGGUUUAAAGUUUUGAUUUCCCAUCUAAUGAGGAUUAGAAAGUGUUGCUUCUCUUCCAGUUCAGAGGAUUCUGAUACAGAGACGAUUAGUUAUACCUUAAUUUGUGUACUGUGAC
RNAcentral lists this long non-coding RNA (507 nucleotides) under Bos taurus (domestic cattle). RNAcentral's name for it is "long non-coding RNA NONBTAT010865". Lineage: Eukaryota; Metazoa; Chordata; Mammalia; Artiodactyla; Bovidae. The record is from RNAcentral.